RNAcentral lists this small nuclear RNA (19 nucleotides) under Arabidopsis thaliana (thale cress). Its description in RNAcentral is "snRNA_09344". The record is from RNAcentral. Lineage: Eukaryota; Viridiplantae; Streptophyta; Magnoliopsida; Brassicales; Brassicaceae.
CUCGUGUGGAACAAAAGGG